GGUUUCCUGGGUCGUACGCUAAUAGACGUAUGUCCCUGAGCCGAUGCUUUUACUUAAGGGGAUCACUGGCCCGUCAUGAGCAAGCCCGGCACGCACCGGGAAGCCUACGAUGGAUCCCACUUGCUCCCCGCCUUGAACCAAUGGGUUCAAGGGCUACCGUCAGAUGGCGGCGUCACCGGGAAACCA
Idiomarina baltica OS145 is the source of this 186-nucleotide non-coding RNA. The record is from Rfam. NCBI's taxonomy places the organism in Bacteria, Pseudomonadati, Pseudomonadota, Gammaproteobacteria, Alteromonadales, Idiomarinaceae.